RNAcentral lists this small nuclear RNA (85 nucleotides) under Erinaceus europaeus (western European hedgehog). RNAcentral's name for it is "U4 spliceosomal RNA". It matches the Rfam family "U4 spliceosomal RNA", at positions 1 to 85 of the family's 138-position model. Rfam says of the family: U4 small nuclear RNA (U4 snRNA) is a component of the major U2-dependent spliceosome. The structure of U4 snRNA from yeast and human has been reported. The record is from Rfam by way of RNAcentral. Lineage: Eukaryota; Metazoa; Chordata; Mammalia; Eulipotyphla; Erinaceidae.
AGCUUUGCGCAGUGGCAGUAUCGUAGCCAAUGAGGUUUAUCCGAGGCACGAUUAUUGCUAAUUGAAACCAUUAUACCAUCUACCC